This 2103-nucleotide long non-coding RNA is filed under the name Oryza sativa Indica Group (long-grained rice). Its description in RNAcentral is "lncRNA OsZS97_01G018280". Lineage: Eukaryota; Viridiplantae; Streptophyta; Magnoliopsida; Poales; Poaceae. The record is from RNAcentral.
UAAAGGUGAAAUCACCCCAUGUCAUAUCGUUCGUCCAUCUGCCAUCACAUCUAAUCUCAUCCGCUCCAUCCAAUCUCAUCAGGUCCGGGCGCCCUAGUGGUUCGACGACCCUACCUCCCCACCGCUCGCACUCCUGUCGCGACGACUCCGCCUUUGCCCCCGCGCGCUGCGAUGACUCCGCCUCCUCCCGUCCCCACGCGAUGACUACGCCCCCAAGCGCUACUCGCUCCCUCCUCCCAUCCCCGCGCUACACCUCGCUCCGCGCUUCCUCGCUUCUUCCUGUCGUCGCGACCAUGGUCUGCCCCCACCGGCACCGGGGUGGUUCCCCCUUUCCACUGGAGCCCUGCCUGGACUACCCCGACUGCGCCGGGGUGGACGACGCCUCCGGCUACAUCGCCUCCAAGCCGUCUACUGCGGCCGGUAUACUGGAGGUGAUGAGGAGACCAGAGGAUAGGUUUGUGGUGAUUUCUUCCCAGCACCUACUUUUGGUUCGACUGGAUGAGGCAAUUAGCCAAACAAUAGCAGUGGUAGGGAUGCAAGCCAUGAUAGCCAUGGAGGCAAGCCUAUACCUCUCUGGAGCAGCAUUUGAUCCUCCUACAAUUGGAUCUUCAAAAACAAUUGUUAGGAGAGUACAUACCCAGACCUUUCUCAGCUUUGUAAUGGUCUAAAUACUAAAUUUGUUGUUUUUUGGUUCCUCUGUUUCAUAUUGCAGGCUAUUUCAUUGCUGCAGCCCACUACUCUUCUAGCUCUGCCGACAACCACACCUACAAGAGCUACAACUGAAGCAUCACAUAGGGCAGAUGAGGCAUCACAUGUCUGGCUUGGAUUCAAUUUGAUGUUGCACUUUGUAUAACUAUAUGCAGUUUCAGUUUCAUCUUCUGUUUCUACCACCUUGCAAUGUGAGUAAAUCAAUGUUAUAUUAACUUGAACCGAAAUUUUGAUGUUACAGAAAUUAAAUAAAUCUCAUCUACUAUAAAGAUUUUUAGUGGCCAUGUUUAAUGAAAUCAUGAGGUAAGUACAUAUUCAUGUUUUUUUAGAAAACUAGAGCUUCACAUAGACAGAUACCUAAUUUGUUGUCACUGGUAAGCAUGUUGUCGUUAGAGGAUUUUACAGUUUUCUGAAGUUUGUAAUUAAUUCAGUUCCUUUUUAAUGGGUUUCUCAUUGAAAUCGAGAGGGCAAGAACCAAACAAGCAAACAAUUGAAAUUAAAAGUAAGCUUGUUUUCUGCUUCACUUCAUCUUUUAUAUUUCUAUGGUAAAAUCCAGCCAUGUAGAUAAGUAAGAAAACAUAUAUAUGAACAUGUAUUUUCUAUUUCUACAGUUGACCUAAAAAGUAAGCUUCUUUUCUAUUUAUACAGUAAAAUUUGGCAAUGACAGAUCAUGAAGAUAACAUAUGAAUAUGCCAUUUCGUACCAAAAUUUGGAUAUAAUCUGGAACCGGCGAUUCACAUGGCUGUAUAGCAAAUCACUGUUUUAUAACAAAUCCAAUAUGAACUAACUUCCAACAGUGGGAAUACUUACAGAGGAGAAUAGAGAAGUGAUGCCUUGUACUAGAAUUGUCAAACAAUAAUAGCCGGCAACGAUUUAAGUGUAAACUUCUUAAUAGUCAUGGCAUUUCAGCUACAGUAGGGAAUAUUUAGACACAGGCAUUGGCUAUUUAAUUAUCUUUUGGCCUUGAUUUGGCAUAUUGAUGAGAAUUCUUUAUUUUGUUUUAUGGUGGCACUCUUGAAUCAUUAUGUAUAGAUAUUGAGCUUGCAUAUACAGGGACUAGGAGGAUUCUACAUUAUAGGGAACCAUCUUUGCCAGGUGUUCAACAAGUUUAGUGAUAGGACCCUAUAUGGCUUAUAUAUAUUCAAAGACAUUAUAGUGAACCAUCUUUGGAUAGGGCUUCGCGUGAAGUUCGUGUCAUAUGGUGUACUGAUGCACAAGAGUGUCUUGCAUUUGCAAUUCUAUACCAUAAUCGUGCUCCACGACAUAGCCGUUCAUUCUGAUUACUUUCAAUGGAUAAUGUACGAAGCCCUACAAUGCAAAAUUGUGCCACGACAGGUAUUCCAAAUCUCUCUGUACAUAUCGAGUAUAUGAUUAUAGCGCUACCAAAUAUUGGCC